This 596-nucleotide long non-coding RNA is filed under the name Anthonomus grandis grandis. RNAcentral's name for it is "uncharacterized LOC126739074". Lineage: Eukaryota; Metazoa; Arthropoda; Insecta; Coleoptera; Curculionidae. The record is from RNAcentral.
UCAGCUCUACCUCAAAGGUAAUUUUUUUUAAAUAUAUUUUUCUAGUAUAAAAAAAUCGUCAAAAAAAGGAUUAGUGUUACUCAUAUAAGCUUUAUUUAUACCUAAUACUUAUUAAAUUAGGUAUGUAUGUAAAACUAUUUUUUUACUAGGAUUUCUGAUGCACUGGUUAAAAACACAGCAGCCGAUAAUUCAGUUAAUUUACCAAGUGAUUUAUCCUUCAAAGCUGCAGGGGUAGCUUUCCUAAAGAGUGCAAAAACUUCUUUAGCUUCCAAAAUGGUAUAUAGUACAAACAGUGAAGCUAAUAUAGACAAAUCUGAUCAUUCAUCAUCAACAAUAACUGCAUCUGAGAUUAAUAGUUCUACAGUAACCGAGGGGUCUAGGUCAACAAUUACUAUUUCUCAUCUAAGCCGUUUUUGUUUAACUGCUACACAUUCCCUGACUCUGCCAAGGAAAAGGGUAAAAUCAAAAUGAUAUCCUGAGGACCUAAGCACUGAUGAUUCCACCGUUUCAAAAGCUAAAUCACUUGUUACCAAAUUAUGGAAAAAAAAUAAAGAACAAAAAAUUAAAAUUCGAAGAUUGCAAUAAACAAAUUUGCC